This 22-nucleotide transfer RNA is filed under the name Crocidura negrina (Negros shrew). RNAcentral describes it as "partial tRNA-Glu". The record is from RNAcentral. Lineage: Eukaryota; Metazoa; Chordata; Mammalia; Eulipotyphla; Soricidae.
GUUCUUCAACUACAGAAACUUU